Molecule: ribosomal RNA, 696 nt
Filed under: Leptosphaerulina gaeumannii
Lineage: Eukaryota; Fungi; Ascomycota; Dothideomycetes; Pleosporales; Didymellaceae
Description: partial large subunit ribosomal RNA
Rfam family: Eukaryotic large subunit ribosomal RNA
Source: RNAcentral
AGUAACGGCGAGUGAAGCGGCAACAGCUCAAAUUUGAAAUCUGGCGUCUUUGGCGUCCGAGUUGUAAUUUGCAGAGGGCGCUUUGGCAUUGGCAGCGGUCCAAGUUCCUUGGAACAGGACGUCACAGAGGGUGAGAAUCCCGUACGUGGUCGCUAGCCUUUACCGUGUAAAGCCCCUUCGACGAGUCGAGUUGUUUGGGAAUGCAGCUCUAAAUGGGAGGUAAAUUUCUUCUAAAGCUAAAUACUGGCCAGAGACCGAUAGCGCACAAGUAGAGUGAUCGAAAGAUGAAAAGCACUUUGGAAAGAGAGUUAAAAAGCACGUGAAAUUGUUGAAAGGGAAGCGCUUGCAGCCAGACUUGCCUGUAGUUGCUCAUCCGGGUUUCUACCCGGUGCACUCUUCUAUAGGCAGGCCAGCAUCAGUUUGGGCGGUUGGAUAAAGGUCUCUGUCAUGUACCUCCUUUCGGGGAGAACUUAUAGGGGAGACGACAUGCAACCAGCCUGGACUGAGGUCCGCGCAUCUGCUAGGAUGCUGGCGUAAUGGCUGUAAGCGGCCCGUCUUGAAACACGGACCAAGGAGUCUAACAUCUAUGCGAGUGUUUGGGUGUCAAGCCCGAGCGCGUAAUGAAAGUGAACGGAGGUGGGAACCUUUCGGGGUGCACCAUCGACCGAUCCUGAUGUCUUCGGAUGGAUUUGAGUA